Molecule: ribosomal RNA, 189 nt
Filed under: Ochthephilum sp. BT-2011
Lineage: Eukaryota; Metazoa; Arthropoda; Insecta; Coleoptera; Staphylinidae
Description: partial 28S ribosomal RNA
Rfam family: Eukaryotic large subunit ribosomal RNA
Source: RNAcentral
GGACCAAGGAGUCUAGCAUGUGCGCGAGUCAUUGGGACUCUGAUAAACCUAAAGGCGAAAUGAAAGUGAAGGCCGCCUUGCGCGUGCCGAGGGAGGACCGGCCGGGCGACAGCUCGCGCCGUGCACUCCCGGGGCGUCUUCGUACUCAUCGCGAGUUGAGGCGCACCCAGAGCGUACACGCUGGUACCC